Molecule: long non-coding RNA, 1264 nt
Filed under: Papio anubis (olive baboon)
Lineage: Eukaryota; Metazoa; Chordata; Mammalia; Primates; Cercopithecidae
Description: lncRNA (ENSPANG00000041927.1)
Source: RNAcentral
AAUUCUAAAUGUUGCUUUGCUAAACAAAGAAGAAAAAAUUAAAAAUAAUUUUCAUAACCAAAGGGUAAAUGUUUUGGCAAGUAUUAUAAUGAGCUACAUACAUAGGAAGCAGUUAUUGAUUAACUAUUGUGGGCCCAGUUUGUGAUGGGCUUGAGGGAAUACCAAGACUUGGAAAAUGGAGUUGUCUUCAAGGUCUUUACAAAUCAGCUCAAAUGUAGAAAUAUAAUAAGCUGUAGAAAUUAAAUUUUUAUGUCCUGUCACUUAAGAAAUCUGCAGAAUAUGUGUGCAUGUUACACAGUGAUUAAUUACACUGAUGAGCCACUUUUUUCACUUCUGUAAGGUUAGUCACAUGCAGCUGUAAGUCAUGUCCUCCCCACCAAUAUUUCUUUUCCUGUAUCGGUUUUGAUUCCAGGUUGCUUCCCUUUCCUGUAUCAUUCUCCCAAUAAUAUUAAGGCAGCGUGUAGAGCUGAAUGAAAACACUGGGCUCAGUAUCUAGGAAACCAGAAAUUUAGCCCUACUGCUGUCACUAUGAACUGUGAAUCUCUGCGCCCUUGAGUAAGUCACUUUCUUUCACUCUACUUCAUUGUUCAAAUCAAUAAUGUGAGAGACUAGAUGAGAGUUCUUUAAGAUCUUGUGUCACACUAAGAAACUAAUUUUGAUUCUGUUAUCCUAAAAAUCUAUUUUUAGAUACUAUUGUGGCAUUUUGGACUUCUAAGUGAUCUAUAUAAAGUACAUGUUGGAAGUCCCUGGAGUCCCUUGAAAUGAUGCUGGGAAUGACAGCUCGUUUUCAGAAAGCAGUUGGUGUAGAUAGCUGAAACUACAGAAGAGAAAACUGUGAAUAAAAGGGAUCGACUGUACCCUUAUAACCACCACUCUAAUCAAGAUAUAGAACAGCUUCAUCACUUCAAUUGUUUCUUGAAUGGUAAAGAAAGGAGUGGAACCACAGUUGGAAACUCAGGUAUUGUGCAUAUUCCACAGCUCAGUUUAACACAGCCUGCUUUAUGCCUUAGCAUGAGGUAACUGACUACAACUGAUCUAUCACUGACAAGGUGACUGCAAAUUAUUCUAGUGCUUAUAGAAAUUUGCAGCUAUUUCCCUACCUUUUAAAAUUUUACCCAUGGAUCAAAUUUUCUAGUAACUUAGAAAAUGAGAUAAGAUGAAGAAAAGAUGAAUAACUUAAUCCCAUGGAAAGUGAAAAAGAAGGAUAGAAUGAGCAUUUUGAUAUGAUUAUGACCAAAUUUAAAGGCAGACGAAAUAUGUUGUA